Molecule: ribosomal RNA, 465 nt
Filed under: uncultured bacterium
Lineage: Bacteria
Description: partial 16S ribosomal RNA
Rfam family: Bacterial small subunit ribosomal RNA
Source: RNAcentral
CUACGGGCGGCUCCAGUGGGGAAUAUUGGACAAUGGGGGAAACCCUGAUCCAGCAAUGCCGCGUGUGUGAAGAAGGCCUGCGGGUUGUAAAGCACUUUCGGUUGGGAGGACUGCUUCUAGCACUAAUAUUGUUGGAAGUUGACGUUACCUUCAGAAGAAGCACCGGCUAGCUCCGUGCCAGCAGCCGCGGUAAUACGGAGGGUGCAAGCGUUAAUCGGAAUUACUGGGCGUAAAGCGCGCGUAGGCGGCUAGAUCAGUCGGGUGUGAAAGCCCCGGGCUUAACCUGGGAACUGCAUCCGAUACUGUCUAGCUUGAGUACAGGAGAGGAGAGUGGAAUUCCACAUGUAGCGGUGAAAUGCGUAGAUAUGUGGAGGAACACCAAUGGCGAAGGCAGCUCUCUGGCCUGAUACUGAUGCCGAGGUGCGAAAGCGUGGGGAGCAAACAGGAUUAGAUACCCGCGUAGUC